UGGGGAAUAUUGGGCAAUGGGCGCAAGCCUGACCCAGCCACGCCGCGUGAGUGAUGAAGGCCUUCGGGUCGUAAAGCUCUGUGGGGAGGGACGAAUAAGUUCGGAGCUAAUACCUCCGGAUCCUGACGGUACCUCCUUAGCAAGCACCGGCUAACCCUGUGCCAGCAGCCGCGGUAAUACAGGGGGUGCAAACGUUGCUCGGAAUUAUUGGGCGUAAAGCGCGCGUAGGCGGCUACCUAAGUCGGAUGUGAAAGCCCCUGGCUCAACUGGGGAAGUGCACCCGAAACUGAGUGGCUUGAAUACCAAAGAGGGUCGCGGAAUUCCCGGUGUAGAGGUGAAAUUCGUAGAUAUCGGGAGGAACACCGGUGGCGAAGGCGGCGACCUGGGUGGAUAUUGACGCUGAGGCGCGAAAGCGUGGGGAGCAAACAG
RNAcentral lists this ribosomal RNA (429 nucleotides) under uncultured bacterium. Its description in RNAcentral is "bacterial SSU rRNA". It matches the Rfam family "Bacterial small subunit ribosomal RNA", at positions 355 to 775 of the family's 1533-position model. The record is from RNAcentral.